CAUACAUUAUGUAUAUUUUAGUCAUUUGCUUUCUCUCAGUAGUUGAGCAAUAAAAUUUACUAAAUGUCUAUAAUUGCUUUCAAAACUCACAAUAAUUCUAAAAAUAAAAUUUACUAAACACUUACAUGAUUCUCUUCAUAGUUGAUUGUUUUACAACACAACUAACAACAAUUAUUUUAAAAAUUAUAGCAUUCCCAAACUGGUCCUUAGAAUAAUUAAAGUUGUUAUCAUUUGUCUUCGUAUUUUAUAUUUUUAAUCUUCUAUUAUUUAAUUAUUGGAUUAGAAUUCUUUUUUGUUCUGUGUAAAUACAAUUAUGCAAUUGGCAAUUAAUAAUUGAAAAUUUAAUUAAGAAGUAAAUCUAAUCAUAUAUGAAUAAAAACACAGUUGUUUUAAAAAUCUUUUAAAACUCAGAUAAAUUCAAAUCACGAGAAAAUCCAUGUCCUUUACUAUAACUGCUGAAACAAUCACUAGUAGGAUCUAGUACUAGCUAAAAUACUUGCUUUAUAUUAAAGAUGCUCCCCGUAGCUGGACCUUUAAAUUAACCCUAAACAAACUCCUACUGCUAACCAUAGUAAUUCUUUAUUUUUAAGCAGUCUUUAACCUAGCUGGCUUCUAUAGCUGCUUCCAUAGGCUACCAAAUGAACAAGAGCAAUUAAGCUAUAUUUGCCUUUGAUGUGAUGUUGAGAAUGAAUAAGUCAGAGAUGUUAAAUAUAUUGCUGAAUUGCUCUGUUCUUUGUUAUUAUUGUUUUUCGCUUUCUUGUCACUUUGAUGAUUCAAUUCAUUGUUAUUGGAAGAAAUAUAUUGCUGCCUCAUAACAUUGAGCUGUAGGAUUCUAUUUGGCUACAAAUUUCUGUGAUUUUCAAAUUCUGAAUUAUUCAAUUUUGUUGGUUGCUGCGGAGUUUGCGUCUGACGGGUAAUUAUCAACUACGAGUUUUUAAUUUGUUUUAGAACUUAUUUUAUUCAACACUAAAAAACAUAUUAGCAACGAAAGAAGAUCACAUCAGGAGACACAGAUGUGAUCGAUAUAAAACGAUGGGUUUUAUUUUGAGAGGAAGCCAUGGGCAUUACAUGCUGAAAAUAGUUGGUGGUGAACGGUAGUAAUGCGUAGAGAGAGUACAGAUGAGAGAGGAAAAAAAUAGUAUUUUUAUAAUUUUUACAAAGUAAUUUUGGAAAUUAAAGAUUUAAUAGAAAAGUGUGGGAUGAAGAGAUAAUUGGGGGAUCAAAUAUCACCACUCUUGUUUGAAAAGGUAAGAGCGUGGGUAAAAGACAAACUAAGGUCAUGUUUAGUAUUGAGGUACUGUAACUUUUAAGCUGUAAAUGCUGUAGAAAAAAUUUAUAAUUAUAAAAUAAAAAUUAAUAAUGUGUAGUAAACAUAGCUCUUAAAUAAUAAUUUGAUAAAAAUAUUAAAGAUAUUAUAAGUUUUUAUCAUAAAAGUGGAUGAUUAAAUGAACUUAGCUUCCAAACUACCGCAGUUAGUAUUUACCAAACACUUUAGUAUUGUACCUUUUAAGGUAGAGUUGCCUAACCUUAAUACCAAAUAGAGCCUAAUUUUUGGGUUCCUAACUCCUCUAAAAUUAAAUGGAAAUGGACUAAAUAAAAAUCACUUGAUGAUGAGAUCAAAACAGCAUGUGUUUUGAGUAGCACUAGUUUCUUAAGAAAGUUUUUUUCAGAUCGAUUAAAUACUCUAUAAAGCACUUCAUUAGAACUAUUUUCCUUGUUUCUUCCCCUUGACAAUAUGAUUGAAAUAUCUAGCUGCUUGAUUGUCUCUUGUUCAUCUUUUCUAUGUCUGACUCUGAAUGUAUUGUUCGUCUUUACAGGAUGAUGAUUUACGUAUAGUCCUAUUACUCUCAUGCUGUGCACUUAAAGUAGCAAGCAACUUAAAAUAGUGAUUUAUCGGAACCAUUUUAAACUCAAGUAUAUAAUAAGGUAUUAAAAAUAUAUGGAAUAAGUUGUGAUCUUUAAUUAAAUCAAAUAGUGAGAUGACUGCUGAUUUUACAGGAAAUAGUCUCAUGGCCCUGUCCCAUAGCAGCCCGAAGUCCAACUCAAAAACCAAAGUGGAGAGGCCCGAUAUUGUGCCAUUGCUGUUGCAAACAAAUAAGCUACUGCUCUUUGUUUUUGCUGCUGUUAAUACUCUCUGUUUUAGCUUUUCUUUGGCUUAUGAUUUUUGUUUCUUUAUGGCUUCUUGGCUGCUUGACUUCUUUAUAACUUCUUGCUUUACUUCUUUAUGGCUUCUUGUUUGACGACUUCUUUUUUUCCCCCCUGUUCUCUUCAUCCUUAGCCUUUUAUAGUGAUUCUAAAUGGAGGUGUCAACCUUCUCAAAAAAAAUAAAAAAUAAAAAAUGGAGGUGUCAACCAAUAGUCCAAUACAGGUGUCAAGCAACAAUAGCUAUAUAUAUUACACCUGUCCAGCAACUAGUUUUAAUUGAUAUUAUCCAUUUCACUACUAGCCUCACUUAUUUUAUUCAGCAACAGCCAUUACCACUUGUACUGAAGAAAAUUUUGAGAUAAGUUAGGGCUGACUUGUUGACGAUGAAAACGUAGCUUGAUCCUUGAUGUUUAAUCUUAAAAGCUAAUUAUAAGUACUUCAAAUUCCACCUCUAAAAAAUUUAAUACCAUCUACUUUAUUUUACAAUCACAAUUUCCCACACCAAAAUCUUAAUAAUUUAAUAUAUUAAUUUCAAUGGUCAAGACGAAGGCUGACUUAGAUUUUUUAAUUGAAAAAAAAUAAAUAGAGAACCUAUCCAUUAUUUUAAUUAUUCUAUUCGCUCUCUCUAAAAUUCGUUACUCCUUCAGAUCCAACGAACCUGCAACUACCGCAACUUUGUCCUUUUCUAGUGGAAUAAAUAAAUCUCAUGGAAAAGUUGUUCAAUGGCUAGUGUUGUGUUUAUCGUAGUCGUAACUCUUCGUUGCAAAAUCAUAACAGUCAAAAGUUUUAAAAUAUUUACAUAUAUAAGUUUAUAUUAUUUUAUAGUUUCGACCUUUGAUCCAUUAACCUAAUUCAAUUAUAAACAUGAGUGAUAGUAAAAGGAUAAUUAUGUAAUCUUACAUAAAAUUUUAUAAAAAUAUGAAAAAAUGAUGUGUAAACACUACUUUUUUGUAU
Molecule: long non-coding RNA, 3099 nt
Filed under: Citrus x clementina
Lineage: Eukaryota; Viridiplantae; Streptophyta; Magnoliopsida; Sapindales; Rutaceae
Description: Citrus clementina (C. clementina) long non-coding RNA (CCLE_LNC005220)
Source: RNAcentral